Molecule: long non-coding RNA, 2186 nt
Organism: Cygnus olor (mute swan)
Lineage: Eukaryota; Metazoa; Chordata; Aves; Anseriformes; Anatidae
Exons: 3
Source: RefSeq, a predicted model, not a curated record
AUUUAUAUGCGACAUAUUUGUUUCCACUGUUUUGAUAGCUAGACCUUCACAUUUGCUCACAAAUAAUUUAAAAAAUCAGACCCGUAUGACUUCUUUCAGACAACCUCUUUAGAGUCUGCUUAAUGAUAAACAUAAGGGAGGUUCAGCUGGUUUGAAUAUGAGUUCACUUCUGAAUAAUCAUGUAUUUAAUUGUUUUACUAAAUGGAGCAAUAGCUUCCAGUCAGCAAUAGUAUGUAAGCCUCUCUGCUUUACUAACCUUUACAUGUUUUUUGAGUAGGGAUGUUUUGUUGGCUGUGGGUCCCCAGCACCCACCCAAAGGAUGUGAUUGAUCCAAAAGAAGGAUGCUUUGGAAGGGGCUGGCCAGGGACAGACCCAGCUGUACUAUCUGCACCUGUGAAGCUUCGUUGAGGAGAAGAUGGCGAUGCUGAUAAGGUGCAGCUGUGAAAAAAGAGAAAUGCAGGCUGCAGGGCCUCAGGGAGCACCCUGUGAGUGCUGGGGAAGGAGAAGGACUUUGAGCUGCAAUCACCUCUAACUUCUGACAUCCUGAUAAAGGAAAAAUUGGUGGAAUCCUCUCUGGGGGGAAAAACAAACAAACAAAAAAAACCCCUGAUUUAUCUCAGCAACACCAGUGUUAACAGCCUACAGGAAUCCCUUAAGGCAACAGUUGCUGAAGACUAAUACCUGAAUAUGGAUGUUUUUCCAAAAUUGGGCUUUUAACUAUUUGUUUUCAUCUAUUUUUAGUCUGCUCAUGGUAGCAGUAAUUCAGAUGCAGUAAUGUACAACUCAAACUGUCAAACUAAUUACAUUCUACGUUCUUUUAAAAAUUUGAAGGGAUGGAAAUAUUUAGCAAGCAUGUAUAAUAUGUUCAGGAUACUAUCAUGUCUUUGUCAAAGCUCCCUGAUUUCACAGGAUGCAUGAAUAAUGGAAUGGGUUACUUUUAGAAGGUGAAAACAAUCUCUAAUUUUUUUAGUCUGUGUUUGUCGUCUUACAUAUGAUAAGAGAAUGUUAAAUUUAUUUUAUUUUAUUGCAAAAUUUAGCAUACUGUCUUGGGAAAAUCAGUUGUCAGCUGCACAUAAUUGUUUGCUUUAAUUGUGUAUGGUAAGCAAGGAGCAUCUUAGAGAUGAAGGUGCAAGAAUCAUUUCCUUGCCCCUUCUCUCAAGACUAUGGGAAUUCAGAAGAAUUUAGGUUUUGAAGUGUAAUGGCUGGGAGUCUGUGCCUGUUUUAAAUAGAUGCAGGAUGCAAGAUGGAACUGUAGGCCCUGCUUUUUUAGGAAUGCACCAUUGGCUGCGCUUUUGCUGUUUUAUUGCCAUGAAAGAAUGGCUGCCUUGAUUAUACGUAAGUUACGAGAGCUGAAUGAUUCUGGCGAGUUAAAAAUGUAAAAGCGACGUUUUCACUGUUUAAAAAAAUGCAGAAGUGUAGCCACUGAUAUAUUAAAUUAAGGUAACCGCAUGUAAAUGCGCAAUGUGUAUUCAUUUAGCGUGUGGCUUGGACUAGCUGUUGGAUGACUAAUGGGUUGCUUCAUGUUAGUCAGCAGAUACGGAUGUGAAGAACAGGAGAAUAUCUAGAAGCAGUUAAUUCAUCUGUGCAUCCAGCCUGAGCAGCUCUUAAAAUCUCUGCAAGGCCUAGCUGCCUCUCUGGUUUUCCUAAUGCAAAUAAAAUGUAGUAUCUACAUUAAUUAAUAUUUCUGGGAGACGGCCAAAGCGGGGAAUGCAUUUGUUUCUUAAUAAGAAAAUAAUUAUUGUAUAAUUCAUUUGACUACAUCAGCAUUUUGCAGUAGUUUUUUUUUAAUAGCUAAUGACAAUCUCUUGUGGAAGAAGAAUCUUUCUUCCUUGGUGGGGAAAGUUGUGGGGAGUUUAAAAAUAACAGCUGCCACGUUUGUAAUGUCUGUAGCACUGUACUGCUCAGAAUGUACAUAUUCAUGUCUAUUUUCUGUGCUUUUUAGGAAAUCUUCGGUUGUUCAUGCAAGUAGUUAAUGGACCAACUUUUUUAAAUCCUUAAUGGGGAUGGCCCUUCUGAUGUACUGCAAGGCCAUCUUCUAAUCAGUAGAGUGCGGAAGUCUAAGAAAAUGAGUACGUGUCCUGUAUCUAAGUCAAUAUACUUAAAUAAAAUGGACAAGAAUUUUAAUUAAAAAAAAGUUUCGCAACUUCUAUCACUCUUUACAUGAUGGAAAGCUGACAGUCUGAAGA